This 253-nucleotide ribosomal RNA is filed under the name uncultured bacterium. RNAcentral's name for it is "partial 16S ribosomal RNA". It matches the Rfam family "Bacterial small subunit ribosomal RNA", at positions 524 to 776 of the family's 1533-position model. The record is from RNAcentral.
UACGAAGGGGGCUAGCGUUGCUCGGAAUUACUGGGCGUAAAGGGCGCGUAGGCGGACAGUUUAGUCAGAGGUGAAAGCCCAGGGCUCAACCUUGGAAUUGCCUUUGAUACUGGCUGUCUUGAGUUCGGGAGAGGUGAGUGGAAUGCCGAGUGUAGAGGUGAAAUUCGUAGAGAUCGGCAGGAACACCCAGGGGGAAACCAGCCGACUGGGCAAGCGCUGACGCUGAGGUGCGAGAGCGUGGGGAGCGAACCGG